UUUUUGCGUUAGGGAUUGUAGUGGCAUCCUCUUUAUUGCUUUGGGAAGCCAUAAAGAGAUACAACGGAAAGCCCGGUCCUUU
This 82-nucleotide small RNA is filed under the name Cochleicola gelatinilyticus. Its description in RNAcentral is "Ulvibacter sp. LPB0005 Flavo-1 RNA". It matches the Rfam family "Flavo-1 RNA". Lineage: Bacteria; Pseudomonadati; Bacteroidota; Flavobacteriia; Flavobacteriales; Flavobacteriaceae. The record is from Rfam by way of RNAcentral.